UUGAGUGUCCAUACCAUAUUGCGAGUGCCCGAUCCUGUCAGAUCUUGGAAGCUAAGCAAGGCUGGACCUGGUUAGUACUUGGAUUUGAGACUGCCUUAGAAGACCAGGGGCUGCUAGAC
This 119-nucleotide ribosomal RNA is filed under the name Mastacembelus armatus (zig-zag eel). Lineage: Eukaryota; Metazoa; Chordata; Actinopteri; Synbranchiformes; Mastacembelidae. The record is from RNAcentral.